UGGGAGGCAAAUGCAUUUAGGGAUUCCAGCAGGCAUUGAGGAGUAGGUACUUCUAUGUUUUGAUGAGAUAGUCAAAAUAUUUGACUUUAUUAAAAAUAAAUGAAUCAUGUGUGUGUGCAAGAAGAUAAGUGGGAGUCCCAUUAAUUUUUUGGUUAUGUACGUGGAAGACAUACAGCUUAUUGGAAAGGUAGUCCCGAUAUUGCACUCGAUCAAUGAUAUGC
Molecule: long non-coding RNA, 221 nt
Filed under: Elaeis guineensis (African oil palm)
Lineage: Eukaryota; Viridiplantae; Streptophyta; Magnoliopsida; Arecales; Arecaceae
Description: long non-coding RNA (EGUI_LNC046419)
Source: RNAcentral